CUGCUGCUGCUGCUCCGGGCGCGUGCGCGGCGGCGCGCGCUCGGCCGGGUCGCCCCCGCGGGGCUCUUAGAGCCCGGCCGGCCGCGAGCGCCUGACGGGCAGCGCGGGCCCGUCCCCCCGCAGCAGCGCGAACGCCUCAGCGGCGGCGGCGACAGCUCCCCGGCUCCGGGCUGCAGCUGUUGUUGCCAUGAUGAUGAUGUCACGGACGCAACCAUUGGGGGAACGGGGAGGUGGACGGGCCGUGUGUUGGGGGGGGGGAAGAGGGGGGCAACGAGCGGGGGAAGUGUCACUCCCCCACACGCACACCCGCCCCCCCUCCCCCGUCUUUCGGGUGGGCUCGGCAGACGGGGCGCGAGUGCGCGCGGGCGUGGGGGAAACCUUUCCGAUGCUUUACCCUCCUCCCCCCGGUGGCGGGAGGCGGCGGCGGGGGUGCUCGGUGAUUCGGCGAUCGGCCGCGCGGGCUAGGGUGAGGCUGCGGAAUCCCGAGCCGCGGAUGGGGCGGGGAGGGAGCGCUGCUGGGACACGAUGGGGUUAAACUGGGUCGGCCGCCAUUUUGGAUGCCGAGCCGCCUCGCUGCGGGAAGGUCUUGCCGUUGCCUCAUAUCAGAAAAACCUACCGGUGAAUAGCUGCCAGUUGAGGCUGCAUGCGGUUGAUCCUUCCAUCAUCUCUGCAUGUAUACAUAUCCCUACCAAACUCUGAAAUUUCUAUUCCAUAUGAUGCAGCACAGGUAAAUGGUUGUAAGAAUUGUUUCUAAACAGGCAAGCGAGACAUAAUCUUUCAUAUUCUAGUUCUAAUAAACAGCUGAAGCAUUUAGUUGAAACUGUCAACUGAGAAAUGUCUGGUGUGAAGAGAGUUAGCCCAAAUGGUUCAAAUAGUAAGUAAUUAAAAAGAUGACAUAAUGGAAAAUUUUCAAGUACUAUAACUGCCAAAAGCCCUAUCAGUCUCCUAUAACUUAUGUAGCCAAAUAUACAUGAGUAUGUGGUUAUUAUUUGAAUUUUUGUUGUUUUAAAAUGUGAAAUGUGUUUCUGUGAAUGAAUCACAGAAAUGGGGCUGGAUGGUAAGUGGUGAAAUCCAUUUAAUUUUAGAUGCUAUAUUUGUAGUUAUAAUGUAGCCUGACUUACGGGAGGCAUUCCUCAUUCAUGCAUCAGACAAAGUGAAAGAAACCUCAGUCCAAUAUGUAGAUCACAAACAGCCAUCUGUUAUCCAAAAGGAGAGAGGAGUAUUGCCAUAAGAGUAAACUUAAAAUGUUUUAAGAUUAGAUUAGGGAUGGCAGAGCUCCAUUAAAUGCUUUGUCCAUAUCUGUCAGCAUUGAUCCCUGUAAUAUAUGAACGUAUAUCUUAUGCUGCAGUUUCAGAUAUCUACUGUUUUUUUCUAUUACAACAAUUACCUGUAGUUUGGAACUCAGUAUAUCUUUCCUGUAUUGUCUAAAUCUUUCUGUUCCUAAUUGAGUAUGUAUAUAUAACCUCUUAUCACCUUGAAUAAUUAUUAUUCCUUCUUGGGGUUUGUUCCUUUGAAAUAGUUUUCCAGAACAAACUGAAUGUUAAGAAGGAAGCAUUUUGAACUUCCUACUUGCUUAGCUUGAGCAAGUAAGGUAACACUUGUAUAGGUUUGUAACAUUUCCUUUUGAGUCUUUCCAGCUCCCAAAGAAUUUCUGUUAUUUUUAUGUGAAUUCCAUCCAAUUUGCAGAGAUCUGUCUCGUAAUAUGCCUAGUACUCAUUGGUGAAUUCCAGGCGUGGUUGUAAAGAGCGUGGAUGAAGAAUUUAUGGUUUAUGUCCAGAGAGUUUUUUACUUUGUUUCAGGCAUCCAUAUGACCUCUAUGUGUAGGGCAGAAUUAAUUACUUGACCGUAUUAAUGUCUGGUCCACCAAGAGGCUUGAAGGACUUUGUUAGUUGUCCACAAAUAAAAUGUUCUACAGUCUGCCCUACUGCUGUAUAAAAACUGUUACCUUCAUGCUCUAGGAUACAGUGCUUCCAAGAAUGCAAGUCAAAUCUAGAUUAGUCUCUUUGUUGGUACUCUGUUGCAAAUCUAUUUGUAGUUCCUGCUUGCUUGUUAUCCUUAGAUCCUUUACAAAUAUUAUGCCUUUGGGGUAUUUCCAUCCUAUUGAAUAUAUUCCAGAAUCUGUUCCAGAAUAUUUGUCUCAGUCAUUUCCAUAGCAGUAGCUUGUUUUUUCAUGUACUCAAUUUCAUUUUACUGUUUUCUGACUGCAUUUCAGCCACACUAAGUUACUUUGAGGUGUAUCAGUGUCCUCAAAGUUGUCUGCAUGGUGGCCUCUCAGGGAUUAAUGAAGAUGUCAAAUAAAACAGGGCCUCACAACAGUUCCUGUGGCACCACGCAUAUAGACAGAUUGCUACUUAUCCUUUUUCCUAGGAUUCUUUUAUUUGCUGUCAGUUUUCACAGUUUUAUCUUGAGCCCUACAAUAGUCACUGUUUUCCUUAAGCUUCAGAAUUUUUACAUGGUCAUUGUGUCUUUGUACCUCUUGUUCAGCAUCAUAGUCUAUCUAACACAUUCUGAGUGAUUUUUGAGGUUUCAUGAGAGUGCCAAAUGCUUUCGUAAACUUGAAUUAUGUAAUAUCUAAAGAUUUCCUUUGGACUGUGUAUUUUGUUCUGGCUUUUGGGGAAAGUGUUGAUGUUUGGUUUAUUAUAGGCUAAAUAUUGCCUAGUAUUUUGUUGUCCUUUAAGGCUGACAUUUUUGGGCUUGUGUGUCCUGAAAUUGUUUAGUGUAGUUUAGAAUUUCAAAGGCGGUGCUCUUAUCUAGAUGUUUAAAAACCUAAUUUUGUGACUACUGAAACCUAGUUUCAAAAAUGUUCAUUUACUGAGGACUUUUUGCUAGCAUUCUUCUUUGCCCAGUACUCGCAUUGAAGGGAUGAUAUUAUUACAUUAUUAUUAUUAUUAUUACAUAUUGAGAUGAUAUUAUUAUCAUUAUUUUGUUAUUGUUAUUAAUCUACCAAUUCUAGUAGUACCUACUAAAGGAUGACACUGAAAAUGCAGGCCCCAUCAGCACACAGAUCUACCUCAACAAUUUUGGAGUCUUGCAAAUAAAAUUAAUUUUCAUACCAGUAUAUUGGUCAUUUUAUAUAUCAAAGCAUGAGAUAGGUACAGUUGGAGAUACAAACUUGGGAAGAAAACAAAUUUAUAGAGUAGAUCUGCUAAUCUAAUGUGAUAGGUUAAUUGAAGUUAGGAAAAAUUGAAAGGAAAGACACCAUGAUUCCGUUUCCAGAUUCUUGGGGGGAAAAUUGUGUGUGUUGCUUAUAGACUCCUAGUCGAGUACAGAAAUCGGAUACAUUCUCUCUGGAAGCUGUGCAGUUAAGUGACUGAGACUGGAUUCUGUUAUAAUAUGGUGCGUGUUUCCUGCUGUCUCUUGAGUAAUCUUGCAGCUGCUUUAGUUAGAAAAUCAGUAAUACUUGUUUUUGUCCACAAGCAGGAACUUGAUGACUUGGCUAAUAAGAUUAUACAACACUGCCCCCAAAAUCUGUAAAGUAUUAAGCACUAUGCCAUAGUCCAGUCUCCCCACCCACUGCACCUCCACCUUCCUUUUUCUAUGCUACUUUUUAAACUAUUUCGUGGAGACAGUAUUGUGCAUAGCUGUUUCUCUGAGGACAGCACUUGGGCUUUUGACCUAUUUCAUUUUUUUUCUCUAAUAAUUAAUGAUGUGAUAAUACUUAAGUGAUGUGUUCACAUUAGGACCAUGCUUUUUUCAAAGAAAAUGAUUGUUGAGUGAAAGUACGAAUAUGCAGGGAAAAGUAGGAAAUGAUUAUGCUGUAAAAAUAACUUUAAAAGAGUCUCAGAUUGUUCAGAGAGGGAAGAGAGCCUUCCAAGGAGUGAUCACAUUCUCACACUUGGCUUUAAACACAUUCUUUAUCUUUAAAAGGAAACAGAAGAGAAUCAGUCAGUAAAUCAAAUGUAGUUGUGGGCUUGUCUGCAAAACCAUAUCAUUCUGAAAUAAGGCAUUAAGACUGGACAUUUGAAGCAAGAAUUGUCAGUGCCAAGACUUCUUGUGCUUUGAGAAAAAUGGGCAUGUCUUUCAUUAAACAAUACCUUUCCUGCAUCCCCUGAUUGUUUUUCUUCAUCAUUGUCUCUAAAGAUAGCAGUUAUGGUGGCUCUGGGUGAAUCUUUAGGUGCACAUUAAAAAUGAGACUGUAUUUUUGUGCUGUAAGGAAUAAGCUUUUAAAAUCACUAAGAUUUUUUUAGUAUCUAUUUGUUUGAAAAGGAAAUUGAAUUUCUUACCAAAAAAUCUCCACCUUUUUGUAGUUGUAGUUAGAGAAAAAAAUGUGUUUAAAGACCAUGUUCUAGCUGCAACUUUUUAAACCUGUUUUGUGAUAAAGAUUUCACUACCAGUAACCUGAGUUUCUCUCUAUUGCUGCAGCAUGAAAUUACUAGUCAGUUCCCUUAUUUCUUCUUUUCAUGACUGGCACAGAAUUGCUUUUUGCCUGGAGUACUUCAGAAAUUGCUUAUUUUAAACAAAAGAAAUCAACAGCAUCCAUGUUUUUCAAGCUCAUCCAGGGUAGCUUUAUCUUUUAUCACACUUUGAAAGUAUUAGCAUUUUUUAAAUUAAAUAGUUCUGUUUUGAAGUAAAUUUCGCUCAGAUAAAGAGAAAAUACAGCAGUAGUUGCCAAAAGGGAUAAAAUGCACUACCUGGAAACAUAUCCUUUAUUUCUUACGUUCUGACAGAAAAGGAGAUGAAUGAGCAUGUUAGAGGCACAAUGUUUCUGUAAAUAUUGUAUUGUUGUUAGCAUGAUUUAUUUCUAUGUCCCCAAUAAAAACAAAACUUUUAAAGCUUAUUUUAAUUUAAUUGUGUAGAAAUUGAUAACACUGCUACUUCAAAGGUUCAAAAAUUCCGAAUGAUUUGGCAUGAACUGUACUGUGACAGUAGAAUUCAUAAUUUCCUCGUUGGCUUCUUCGUAAUGUUCCUUACCAUAUAUUACAUCUACACUGUGAAAUAAAACAGGGCUAGAGAGACUGCUAUGUCCCUCUGCCUCCGAAUGCUGUCCCCUGCGCAGUGUGGGAGCACUGUUUCAGAUGGUACUAGUUGUUAUGGGCCUAAACUGCCACACAGCGUGCUAGCAGCUUAACAGCGUGGGUGACGAGCAAGCUGGUGUUCAAGCUUAUUCCUUGGUACCAUUUUACUAAGCAGUGUAGGCAGAGCAGCAGUGUCUCAGAUGAGGUUUUUUAAAUGUGCCAAUUUGCCAAAUUCAGAACAAGACCUUUAGGGUUAUUCAGCUCCACUGAUUUCUUUCUUUCCUAAGUGCUUCAAAUACAUUAAUUACUUUUCAUAACAUCUAAAUAAAUGAGUAAGAAGGGCCCUCGCUUAAGAGUCCUUUAGUCCCUGCACUCAGUACUACACAUGCAAGCUAUAUAAUUACUGUUUAAUGAAAAACAUAAGCAGGCCUAGGAGAUUAAAGCUUCCUUAUUCUUUUUGGCCUCUAAGUCUUCCAUUCCUCAGUGCUGGUUGGCAAAGACCCAAGCUGGAGGUAAGAGAUGCUUCACGUGCAACCACCUGCUGAUAGGGGCACUCUCCUAGGAGACAAGAGAGUCUGGUUUGGUGUCCUUCAAGCAAUGGAAAGCCUAGAAUCCAAUCUACUAUUGCCUCUUCAGCUGCUAUUGAAUAAUGCGGUGUCCUAACCACUCUGCUGCUACGUAAGGGUAUGCAACAGAGGUAUGUGUCCCGAAGGAGGGGGACACACCCUUAACCUUUGCCAAGACGUAGUUCUAGAAAAGCUCUUAGGCAGCAGAUGUAAAUUUGUGCCUGAUGACUGACCUAAAUUUCGCCAAGGAGGGAGACAAGAGUGAACAGCAAUAAAUGGCCUUCUGUAACCAGCUGUCUGAGCUAUCACAAGUAUAUCUCCGGUUGAAACUACUAAGAAUGCCAGAGUUCUGGUGCAUUUCUGUUGCUAGGUACUGCUGUUGGAGGACUAAACUCGCUAGCUCCAUACAUUCACCCAUCUUUGUUGGUCGGUUGGUGAGAAUAGCAGUGUUCUGUAUGCCGUUCGCAUGGGCAUAAAUGGCUACACAAAGGACAAAGUUCUAAAGAAUUAGGUCAGUAGGUUUUAUAUCUAAUUAGGCCUCUAAUCCUACAAACCACUUAUGGUUUUGCAUUAUUAUAUGUUCAUUGUGUCUUAAAUGGAAGUACUCAUUUGAGUGAAGUUAUGGGUGUAAUUGCAUGCAAGAUCCAAUCUGGGCAAUCGCAUUUUAGCUUAUUAUUCAUACUGUAGCACUGUUACAAAUCAGGUAUCUCUGAUGUUACCCCUUGCCCAGUCAGGGUGAAGGGGUAUCUGAAACUGAAUAUGUUUCUGUGUAAUGGCUUGCACUCCAUUUCCAUGCCUAUCCAAACCAAGCACUUAUGCAAAGGCAUGUCAUAGUGAGUAUUUUAACUGUUGAGUUAAGAGAGUCAUAAGGCAUGGAUUUUCAAUGCCGAAGGUCAUGAGGCUGCAGUUUCACUGGCUUAUGUGCUGCAUUUGCAUGGACAGAUAUUCCGACAGUUAAUGGUAGUGCAGAAUGCUUUAAUGAUUUUCAUUUGCAUCAAGCUGUUCUCACCUCUUAGGAACAUAAUGGAUAAAUAAAAGAGGCCUUUUGUUUGCUCUUCAUGAAAGUUAGCAGUGAUUAAGUGGUGCUAAGGGAACAGACUCAUGCUCUCAUUUAAAAAAAAAAACAAACCAAAACCCAACAACAAAACUGCCCAUCAAAGCUGACUUCAAAGUGACCUACUUCAUUUUGAUUUAAAAUGGCACUUGAAUAAUUUAUUUUAAUGCUAUGCACAUUUCCUAACUCAAAACACAGAACUGGUCACUCCUAACUGAAAAUACAGAAAUAGUUAUUACAUCAGACACAAAAUACUCGUAAUUUGUUAAGGUACUCUUUAUAGUGUUGAAUUACAAACAAAGCUAUAUACACUUAGAUCAGUAUUUCUUCCAAAUGGAUUCAGCAGUCACUUUCUUUAUUAAAAAUUACAUCCAGAACGUAGUUGUGGGCAAAUUGAUACUUUUUGCACUAUACUAUGGUGUUUCACAAGAAAGUCCAUGCCAGUGGCUUGCUAGAGAAAAUCUUGUCAUGAUUCCUUAAGGUGUUUCCUCUAAGUUUUAUUCUUAGAUGUAGAGCCUCCCUGUGGAAGAUUUCUCCAAACCUUCCUGGAAUAUGGCAUAUUCUCCUAAAGGUAUAGACUUCCACACUAUAUCUUGGCCCUUUGCAGUUCAGCAUCAGCUUCUCGGGCUCCUCUGCCAUGGAUCAGCUCAAAAGCCCGUUCUUGAAAAGGGCUCAAAGGAAGUUAGCAUAGGCUCUGGAUAUGUUAUAUUUUUAGACAUUUUCUGAAGGAUUUCAUGUGCAGUUUAGUCUCUUUCAGUGUAAUCUUGAAAAAAAUCUGAGUGGCCUUCAUGGCUCUUUGAGAAUAAAGCUUUGUUCUUAAACACCUUUGUGUCAGAAUGGUCACACCUAAAUUUUUGUUCCUAAUUUAUAGGCACACACGUCAUGAUUCCAUUGCCCUGAUUUAAGCAUUGGCAGCACAGUGCCAGUAUUUUAUGAUUAUAUUUUUCUAAAUGCGUUAGAGUUUCAACUUUAUGUAUCAGAUUGAGAAGCACAGUCAAGACACUCCAUAUCCCAAAUACCCUAAUUUCAGUAGUCUCCAUUUAGGGUACAAGGGUACAAUGUUCCUGAUAGCAGCUAGGAUGAAGAGGCUUUCAAGUACUUAGGCCUUUUCUUUUCGGUUAAUAACUUCCAGUCCUUGCAGUUUCUAACCUCCUGCCUUUGAGAUAGUGAUCUUGAGUACUUCUUCUGGCAUUCAACUUCUCUCUCUCAAGCUUGUGUCAUUUAAAUCAAGAUACAGAACUUGACUUCAUGUAUUUGGAAUACCCUCCAUUUUCAUGGAAUUAAUAGGAUAUUUGGGGAACACAGAAUAUGCAAAUUCAGACCUGCUGAAUACGUAAUUUUUAUGGCCCUUCUGUUUUGUAUUGGCUUUGUAAUUUGUCCAGUGUUUGACUGAGGGCUAAUUAAAUUACUGAAUUUACAAUGAGAAUAUAUUAGUCCAUCCUUCCCUUCACUGAUUUUUAUUCUUUACUCCUCCAGUUAAUUUUCUUUUAAAUCUGCCUUUGUGUUCUCAGUGUGGCAUAAAAGGACUAGUCAACGGCCUGAAUACAGGGGCAGUUGAGGGAAAUUUCCAUCUGCAAUCAAUCUCCCCACUGCAGGAGGAAUGCUGGAUAUCCUUACAUGUACAAUAAAGAUGGCUGAAUUCAGUGAUCACUCCCUGACCAGCAUAACAAUUUCUUAGAAAUUUGUGGCAGGUUGGGAGAGCAAGGGUUUAGGAUUACAUCUAAGAAGAGAUCUGUGCAUGCGAGGGUAUGACUCUCUAUCUUGGGUUAGGAAUAAUGAUCUAUUUGGACGUAUGU
This is a long non-coding RNA of Harpia harpyja (harpy eagle), 8371 nucleotides long. RefSeq lists it as uncharacterized. The transcript has 3 exons. The record is from RefSeq and is a predicted model, not a curated record. Lineage: Eukaryota; Metazoa; Chordata; Aves; Accipitriformes; Accipitridae.